Molecule: non-coding RNA, 127 nt
Organism: Podarcis lilfordi (Lilford's wall lizard)
Lineage: Eukaryota; Metazoa; Chordata; Lepidosauria; Squamata; Lacertidae
Source: the annotation of a GenBank genome assembly
UGCUGUAGCUUAGUGGUAGAGCACAUGAUUUGCAUGCAAAAUGCCAUGAAUUCAAUCCAAUGCAUGUGUUUAUAGAACAUGAGACUCUUAAUCUCUGGGUUGUGGGUCUGAGCCCCACACUGGGCAA